GAGUUUGAUCGUGGCUCAGAUUGAACGCUGGCGGCAGGCCUAACACAUGCAAGUCGAGCGGCAGCGCGGGGCAACCUGGCGGCGAGCGGCGGACGGGUGAGUAACGCGUAGGAAUCUACCCAGUAGCGGGGGAUAGCCCGGGGAAACUCGGAUUAAUACCGCAUACGCCCUAAGGGGGAAAGGCAGGGGAGUCUUCGGACCUUGCACUAUUGGCAGAGCCUGCGUUGGAUUAGCUAGUUGGUAGGGUAAAGGCCUACCAAGGCAACGAUCCAUAACUGGUCUGAGAGGAUGAUCAGUCACACCGGAACUGAGACACGGUCCGGACUCCUACGGGAGGCAGCAGUGGGGAAUAUUGGACAAUGGGGGCAACCCUGAUCCAGCCAUGCCGCGUGUGUGAAGAAGGCCUUC
This 408-nucleotide ribosomal RNA is filed under the name uncultured Gammaproteobacteria bacterium. Its description in RNAcentral is "bacterial SSU rRNA". It matches the Rfam family "Bacterial small subunit ribosomal RNA", at positions 9 to 419 of the family's 1533-position model. Lineage: Bacteria; Pseudomonadati; Pseudomonadota; Gammaproteobacteria. The record is from RNAcentral.